GCCGAAAAUCUAGCCUCCCCAAAUCAUAUGAUCACCUUAAAAAUUAUCCCGUAUUUACUAAAACAUUUAUAAUAUCUAGUAAAGGCGAUUAAAAAAUAAAUUAGAGCAAUAACAAUAGUACCGCAAGGAAAAGAUGAAAUAAAAAUGAAACAAAUUUUAAGCAAAAAAAAGUAAAGAUAUACUCUUGUACCUUUUGCAUCAUGGUUCAACUAGUCUAACCAAGCAAAAAGAACUAUAGUUUGACCCCCCGAAACUAGACGAGCUACUUCGAGGCAGCUUAAUGAGCGAACCCGUCUCUGUUGCAAAAGAGUGGGAUGACCCCCAAGUAGCGGUGACAGACCUAACGAGUCUAGUAAUAGCUGGUUACUUAAGAAAAGGAUUUUAGUCCCGCCUAAUGCAUCCUAAGUCAUCUUAAACAAGAACUAUGCUUUAGAGUUAUUCAAACAAGGUACAGCCUGUUUGAAAUAAGGAUACAACCUACACUAACGGGUAAUAUAUCUGCAACGCAAACAAGUAGGCCUAAUAGCAGCCACCUUUAAAAUAGCGUCAAAGCUUAUCUGCACAAAACCUUAAUACCUAAAUACCUUUAAAACCCUUUACUUUUAUUAAGUUAUUCUAUAAUUAUAUAGAAGUUAUUAUGUUGAAACUAGUAAUAAGAAGAGGACCUUCUCUAAAAUGCAACUGUAAAUCAGAAAGGACAAACCACUGAUAAUUAAUCAUCAAUGAAAACAAAACAGCAACUUUCCAAGAAAACCCUGCUUUAUUCAAUGUUAAACUAACACAAGAGCAUUUCAAGAAAGAUUAAAAGAAAAAGAAGGAACUCGGCAAACAUUAACCUCGCCUGUUUACCAAAAACAUCGCCUCUAGAAUAAAUAUAAGAGGUCCAGCCUGCCCAGUGACUUAGUUCAACGGCCGCGGUAUCCUAACCGUGCGAAGGUAGCGUAAUCACUUGUUCUUUAAAUAAGGACUAGUAUGAAUGGCACCACGAGGGUUAUGCUGUCUCCUUUUUCUAAUCAAUGAAACUAAUCUCCCCGUGAAGAAGCGGGGAUCAUAAUAUAAGACGAGAAGACCCUAUGGAGCUUUAAACUAUAUAGCACCAGCUUAUGUAUUCAAAAAUUUCAGAAUCAUAACAAUAACUCUAGCUCCCAUGACUACUAGUUUUAGAUUGGGGUGAUCGCGGAGUAAAAAUUAACCUCCACAUUGAACGGGGUAUGACCCCCUGAGCAAAAAGCUACAACUUUAAGCACCAAUAAAUUAACAUUAAUUGACCCAAUAUUUUGAUCAACGAACCAAGUUACCCUAGGGAUAACAGCGCAAUCCACUUAAAGAGCCCCUAUCGACAAGUGGGUUUACGACCUCGAUGUUGGAUCAGGGUAUCCCAGUGGUGCAGCCGCUACUAAAGGUUCGUUUGUUCAACGAUUAAAACCCU
Molecule: ribosomal RNA, 1429 nt
Filed under: Dendropsophus ruschii
Lineage: Eukaryota; Metazoa; Chordata; Amphibia; Anura; Hylidae
Description: partial 16S ribosomal RNA
Rfam family: Bacterial large subunit ribosomal RNA
Source: RNAcentral